CCAGCAGGCCACCUUAUCGCUGUAAUCCACUUGGUGGUAUUAAAGAGGAAAGUCCGGACACCAUAGUGCAGCAUAGCGGGUAACGCCCGUCCGCCGAAAGGCGAGGACAAGUGCAACAGAAAGCAAGUACAGUUCGGCUGUAGUGAAAUCAGGUAAACUCUAUGCGGUGAAACGUCACGUAAACCAGUGUUUGAGGGCUGCACGCCCAAAUUGGAGGGUAGGCGGUUUGAGCUUUUGGGCAACCAAAUGCCUAGAUAAAUGAUAAGGGUAUACAGAAUCCGGCUUAUGGCCUGCUUUUCUU
This 301-nucleotide RNase P RNA is filed under the name Flagellimonas spongiicola. Its description in RNAcentral is "RNase P RNA component class A". It matches the Rfam family "Bacterial RNase P class A". From Rfam's summary of the family: Ribonuclease P (RNase P) is a ubiquitous endoribonuclease, found in archaea, bacteria and eukarya as well as chloroplasts and mitochondria. Its best characterised activity is the generation of mature 5'-ends of tRNAs by cleaving the 5'-leader elements of precursor-tRNAs. Cellular RNase Ps are ribonucleoproteins. Lineage: Bacteria; Pseudomonadati; Bacteroidota; Flavobacteriia; Flavobacteriales; Flavobacteriaceae. The record is from RNAcentral.